CGGCACGUCUUGAUAUACUUGUACAACAGUUUCGUCCAAGUUUGGUUGGGAACUUCAAGUGUGCCUCAGUGGUCGAGGCAAGUCUGAAUUAAUCUCGCAGUGUGUUCUUUGAGAACCGAAAGGAGAUUUCUUUUAUGAUGCAAGCGUAGAAAUCAUUAAAAGUAAAACUGUAUAAAUACAAAUUUAAGCAUAGAAAUACGUGAAAAUUGGCUUAGGAUAUUGUGAAAAGAAUUGGAAAAUAGAAUUUGAUUCGAAACUUAAUAUCAUAUUGCAUCUUAACCACGAAUGUGUAAGCUGUAUAAAUAUAUAUUCACCGAUGAUACCCAGUUUAUAAAUAAUUUCGAGUUGGCUGAAGAGAGGAUGUUACGCCCGGAACGUGUAUUUUAAACACGUAUCAGCUGAACUAAAUAAAGAUGAUAGAUCGCCAAGCUAUACAGUGUUUAAGAAUCCAAGAAGAGAUACUGUUUCAGAUUAUGAAAGAUUACUUCUAGCUACAACCCGUUAAGGCGUCGCAAGGUGUUUUCUCGAGACCUGAUUAGCGUGUUGGACUAUUUGAAGUUUAAUUAUUUUGUGUAAUUGACAUACAGAAUUGGGCGCCAAUUGUGUGAACAAAUUACAUUGUAAAUUUAAUUGGCAUUUAUAAACUUUUUGAACUUGACUAUAUCUAUAGGUUAAGUUUGUUUAAAAAAAUCGAAAACUUAUUAAACAAUUCGA
Molecule: long non-coding RNA, 714 nt
Organism: Centruroides sculpturatus (bark scorpion)
Lineage: Eukaryota; Metazoa; Arthropoda; Arachnida; Scorpiones; Buthidae
Exons: 3
Source: RefSeq, a predicted model, not a curated record